Long non-coding RNA from Myzus persicae (green peach aphid), 1505 nucleotides. RefSeq lists it as uncharacterized. The record is from RefSeq and is a predicted model, not a curated record. The transcript has 3 exons. NCBI's taxonomy places the organism in Eukaryota, Metazoa, Arthropoda, Insecta, Hemiptera, Aphididae.
AACGUGUUCUCCGUGUCGUUCGGUCGCCCGUUUAGAGUGUGCGUGUGUGGUGCAGGUGUAGACGAAGGUGAUAUAUUAUAAUAUUAUUAAUUAGUCGUUUCCGUUAUUACGGCCGCGGGCGAGACUGAUUCAUCAUUAGUCGUUUCGUGUUUUAUUAUAGUUUUCGUGAUAAAAAAAAAGUAGAAGAGUUUAAUUUCGUAAAACGCAUGGCGAAUUUUCACCGCUCACCGCCGCCACACCGCUUCGUCAUAACUGCCGAAAAAUGUCAUAGUUUUCGUGGAGAAGAUUGAUUGAUGGUUGGUACAGCACAAACGUCUAAACUGUUUAAUAUAUAUAGAAUAUAUUAUAUCUACUACAAAUACCGCAUCGCAUUGACGAGUGCCCAUAUUAUAGUCGAAAACCGAGUUAAACUAUACUUCCCAUUGACAUAAAUAUGACGAAUAUUGGACGUAUCCGGACUGUAGUGUUGGGAAGUUCUCGUGUUGGGAAAUCUGCUGUCACGGUUCGAUAUCUGACAAAGAGAUACAUCGGAGAAUAUAGUUCAAACACAGGUAAAAUUGAAUUGCUUGUAUAAUGAAUGACACAUAAUGUUAUAUUAUUAAGAGGGGGAAUAAUUGAUUUUGAAAUUAGUUUUGAAUUUAAUUGGGUGCUGGCCACUGGAUAAGGAAUCUAUAAUGUAGCGCAGUGGUGACACUAUUGUUCUAACACGAUGUUGAAUAGGUAUGUAUUAUGUAUAUUUGUAUAUAUACUAUUUAUUACAUUAUUGUUCGUAACUUCAAGUGAAUAAUGAAAUUCUCAACAUUCUCGUUGUCGUUUUUGAUUAUUAUGUUGAAUGUAUAAUAUUAUAUUAUAAUGAAACGGUCGAUUUCAAUACGUUUUAAGACAAUAAUCGAUAUAUUAGAUAACAAGUGACGGAAAAACCAUUAUGUUCUACGCCAUAGUUGAUUUUAUGAUCAUUAGGCGAAAACGUCUUUGAUUAAAAAAAAGUCUACACCAUUGUAAGAUUCAUUUUAACAACUACUAGAUCUAUAGAUAUGCGUUAACGAGUUAUUUACCUUUUAUACUUUACGUCCACCAUCCACGCAUUUCUUCUAAAAUUCAAAAAUAAGUAGAUACACUUCUGUGCAGUGACUGCAGUCACCCAUAUCUUAUAGUGGCCAGUGUAUAAUUUUAUUCAAAAUCAAAUAGGUAUAAACCUAAGAUGAUUAUUUUCACUUUUUGAUGCCAACGCACAUAUAUACUAAUUAUUUGGGUUUCGACAGUUUUAUCUCCGAGUUUUACUGUUAUGUUUGUACACACACCAAACGAGAAUUGAUAUAAUAUAACUGGUCUGCAGUGCGGGGUUAUUGUACACAAUAGUCGUGUAUAUGCUGUGGGGUCGUAAAAAGUUGAUGGUGUAAAAUAGCUUAAAUCCUCACACUCUUGACUAUGCGCGCCUACGCUGUAAGAAGUUAUUUUUCCUUAGUCUUCUGCAGCAAUGCACCGGGCGGCGGGCGCGCGGAUAU